GCGAACGCUGGCGGCCGGCCUAACACCUGCAAGUCGCACGGAUCCUUCGGGAUUAGUGGCGGACGGGUGAGUAACACGUGGGAACGUGCCCUUUGGUUCGGAACAACUCAGGGAAACUUGAGCUAAUACCGGAUGUGCCCUUCGGGGGAAAGAUUUAUCGCCAUUGGAGCGGCCCGCGUCUGAUUAGCUAGUUGGUGAGGUAACGGCCCACCAAGGCGACGAUCAGUAGCUGGUCUGAGAGGAUGAUCAGCCACACUGGGACUGAGACACGGCCCAGACUCCUACGGGAGGCAGCAGUGGGGAAUCUUGCGCAAUGGGCGAAAGCCUGACGCAGCCAUGCCGCGUGAAUGAUGAAGGUCUUAGGAUUGUAAAAUUCUUUCAGCGGGGACGAUAAUGACGGUACCCGCAGAAGAAGCUCCGGCUAACUUCGUG
Molecule: ribosomal RNA, 432 nt
Filed under: uncultured bacterium
Lineage: Bacteria
Description: partial 16S ribosomal RNA
Rfam family: Bacterial small subunit ribosomal RNA
Source: RNAcentral